AACGAACGCUGGCGGCAUGCCUAACACAUGCAAGUCGAACGAGACCUUCGGGUCUAGUGGCGCACGGGUGCGUAACGCGUGGGAAUCUGCCCUUCGGUUCGGAACAACAGUUAGAAAUGACUGCUAAUACCGGAUAAUGACGUAAGUCCAAAGAUUUAUCGCCGAAGGAUGAGCCCGCGUAAGAUUAGGUAGUUGGUGGGGUAAUGGCCUACCAAGCCGACGAUCUUUAGCUGGUCUGAGAGGAUGAUCAGCCACACUGGGGCUGAGCCACGGCCCAGACUCCUACGGGAGGCAGCAGUGGGGAAUAUUGGACAAUGGGCGAAAGCCUGAUCCAGCAAUGCCGCGUGAGUGAUGAAGGCCUUAGGGUUGUAAAGCUCUUUUACCAGGGAUGAUAAUGACAGUACCUGGAGAAUAAGCUCCGGCUAACUCCGUGCCAGCAGCCGCGGUAAU
Molecule: ribosomal RNA, 450 nt
Filed under: uncultured bacterium
Lineage: Bacteria
Description: bacterial SSU rRNA
Rfam family: Bacterial small subunit ribosomal RNA
Source: RNAcentral